GAUUAAUUAGUUUAAGUAGAAACAUAAAUUUUGUAAAUUUAAAGUCCUAAGAAUGAUGAAAAG
This 63-nucleotide transfer RNA is filed under the name Cyriopagopus hainanus. RNAcentral's name for it is "tRNA-Thr". The record is from RNAcentral. Lineage: Eukaryota; Metazoa; Arthropoda; Arachnida; Araneae; Theraphosidae.